Long non-coding RNA from Culex pipiens pallens (northern house mosquito), 4758 nucleotides. RefSeq lists it as uncharacterized. Lineage: Eukaryota; Metazoa; Arthropoda; Insecta; Diptera; Culicidae. The transcript is spliced from 3 exons. The record is from RefSeq and is a predicted model, not a curated record.
CAUGAAAUUGUAUAUGGAAAUAGGAAAUGCCAAUGACAGUCAUGUAUUCCAAAACGAAAUUAAUCUUUUCUACACAUGGUGUAGUAAAAGCCUACUCCAAUUGAAUGUAAAGAAAUGUAAUUCCAUUGCCUUCAGCAGAAAACAUGAAACUCCAAACAUAACAGUAUUAUUAGGAAACCAACCAGUAGAAAAAUGCAAAGUAGUACGUGAUCUAGGUGUCAUCCUAGACUCACAACUAACUUUUGUAGAACACUACACAGAAAAAAAAGUGUAAAUUCACGCGGCACUGAAACCAUGUUUCGAAUGUAAACAUGCUCAAUGUAAAUUUGAAAUUCAAUGUAAACCGUUGAAUAGCAUUUAAAAGGCCUUCACGCAAAAUGAAAUUCGUUGUAAUUCACGAAUCUCAUGUAAAUGGAGCUUUUGCUUCCAGCAAAUCAUAAAUUUGUAAAAUUGAAAAGCAUGUAAUUAUGUUUCUAUUGUAAAAAUUGCUUCCUGUAAACUAAAAAAUAAUUUAAAUUUCAAAUGUUUUUGUUUUGUGAAUGACAGCUCAAAACGCAGACGAACAAAUCGACUGAAUGUUAUUGUUUGUUUAUGCGCGUGGGGUGUGGAAGUGUUUUAGCAUUAAUUGUUGAAGUUUGCGAUUAAAAACAUGCUCAGCAAAUGUUCCAGCAACAGCUGGUUUUUCGGGACUGUUGAGCAAGAGUAGAUGUCUCCGGACAUGCUCGGGUAACUUUCCAGGUUGUUUUUAAUAUCAAUUGGUUGUUUUGGUAAGUUUCCAAAUCAAAUAGAGCACCGUCGAUUUGUAAAAUUUAUACAGCAAAACCUCUUUUAACACACCUUUGAAUUCUUUCAGUUAAAUCGUCAGGACUUGCGUCGUGAGUUAGAUGGGAAAUAUUGACCGAGGAAGUUGCUGAAAUCUGAUGGCGAUCAACUUAGUUGACGGGAACGGUCCUGGUCAAAUGCAGUUGUUGCAUUUGCAUUCAUAACGGGAUAGCGUAAGUGACGUUUUGUGAGAAUAUUACACAACAUUAAACAUUCCACUUCCAGACAUGAAACAUCCGCGUUCAGCCGGUUUAACUUGCGCAGCUGCUUCUCCUCGAACAGCUUUCUCUUGGAUCUGCCAUCUUCCUUAGAACGUUCUAAACUACGACAUCGCGCAGGUAACCACUUUAGUUGACUUAUCGACUAAACGAACUUCGCCGGGACUGAUGUUCCUGAGCCAGGCACAUACUUUCUCAACAUCAACAGGCCCGAUUCGAUGACCAAGCCAAAUUCAGCUUUACUUUCGGUAAAUUUCUGUUUUUUCGAUAUCAACUAAAAUUUAAAAAAUAAUCGAAUCGGGGAGAAAAUUUUACGAUAACAAUAAAUUAAAUGACGUUUCUUUUUGCCUUCUGAUUAGGUACACGCCUAAUUGAGAAGAAACAAAAACAUCAUUUAUUGAUAGAAUAUCGUGUAAUCUAGUACAUUUCUUGGGUUAGUUUUCAAAAGGUUCAAGCGCCAGUUGUAAACAAAGCCAUUUUCGGUCAAAUUAAAAAGAGAGAUGUGAGCCGGUAACAUGGAGUGAUUUUUUUUUUGACAGGAUGAUUGUCUUAUUACUUGUUUAAUUUUUUGAACUUACUUCAGUUAUUUGGUUUUUUAGGGUGCAACUUCCCGCUUUCAGAGUGUAUUUUUCAAGGACACGCAUGCAGUGUUUUAUAUCUAGAGUUUUUGUUAAAGGUCUUAUGGUGUUUUUUGCUUUUCAAUUCUGCUUCCAAAAUUUUCAGAUGAAUUUCAAUAUAAUAUUAAAAAUUUGUUGAAAAUCAAAACUACAAAACUAAUAAAGUGAGCAAACCUGGUUCUUCGUGUACGAUCAAAUUUCAACUGAUCUAGUACUUCGUUUGUGCCUUGUCGAGUCGUCGAGUCGAGGUUGGGAGAAAACGUCAAAGCAAAAUUUUAAACUGUCAAACAGAUAGCACUUUAGCACCAAAAUCUGCUUUUAUGCGAAAUUAUAAAACAAAGUUUAAAUAUUGAUGGUUUCUUUUGUAAAAAUUGACCAAUUUUUACGGUAGGCUUAAAGAGGAGCCAAAACUCCUCCGAAUAGCGUAAUUGGUACUACGAUUUGGCGUAAUUAAGAAUCAAAUUUACAAAAAUUUGGCAAAACCUAUAGACAGACCAGACAGUUUGACCCCCUUCCUGGAAUCCAAAACGAACCAGAACCGCCAUGGUGGCGUGGACAAUAACCUGAAGAAAACGAUUCCGUGCCAGGACGGUAAAAUUUCUUCUAGGGAACGGUUAGUCAACGGAAUCGGUGCGGGCUCUUUCGGUUACGGACAAGUAAGAACGGAAACAAGCAAGAAUGCUGAGAACCGAACGGAGACGGAUAUGGACCAUGUUGCCCAAAACACAAGGCAGACGAUCUAGUCGUCCACGAUCUCCACCAGGUCCACGCACCGCUCGAACUCCAACUUGUUCUCUGGAUGGAACGGCCAAACAACAACCCGGAGCAUUUGAGAUCGUUUGUCUGCGGGCCAGCUACCGGCACCCAUCGGCCGCGUAAGCUGAAAACGAUGAAUCUGAUCGCGCUGAAGCGUGGUAAAUGUGCAGAGAAAUCAGGGGCUCGUCAUCACAGGAUCAUUAGGAUUCAACGUUUGUUGCAAGCUGUGCAAGAUCGAUUCCAGGAUAAACACUUGGACCAGCGAUAGGCGCGAAUUGCAAACCAAGCAGCUAAACGAGAAUCUCAACCCGGAAUCGAUUCGGUUCAAGAUGUGCAGCAAAUUCUUGAAGCGAGUACGCCGGCUAGAAGGUCGGUCACGAGAAAUCCCAGACGCGAUCGUAUUUCGUCCCUCGGCAAUGUUCAGUCUGAAUGGACUGCCUCCUCUUGAAUGGAAACUGCCAAGGGGUAAUUGCUGGCGCUGAAUGAUUUUGUGUUGACAAAAUAGUAGGUGAGUACCAUUCCGUAUUUUUAAAAUCACCAUAAAGUUUAAAGGGAACAAUUCAAUACCCAGUUAUUUUUUUUUUAAAUUUCUUCGCUAAUAUUGAUUCAUGUUUAGUAAGAUUCACCGAGCCACGUAGCUUAGUGGUAACGCUUCCGCCGCGUAAGCGUUAGAUCGAGGUUCAAAUCCCGGCUCGGACCAACACAACUGGUGAUCGUUUCUCUUCUGGAUUCGAUUGCCUAGUAAAGGGAAGGUAGAGCAUCGUCACAAGCUGGACCUUAUUAACGACACCUUAGGAAGGCGACCUAUGGAAUGUUAACAUUAACCUGCACAUGUUAACAUUAAGUAAAGAAAUAGCCACUGAAUCCGCUUUGUAAAUGACGGCCCCGAUACUCUUCAAGUGUGUUCCCCUCAAGAACUGGGAAAGAUUUACUUUACUUUAGUAAGAUUGUAUUCUCUAAUGCUCUGUUGGAUUUGGUGUUCGAUGUUGUUUUCAAACUAUUUCAUUUUUAUACUGUCAUUAAAUGCUUUUCAUUGACAUGUUUUUGAUUGUUUAUUAUUCAAUCGGAAACGCAUUUCUUUUGAAAUAGCAUUUAAAUGCAGCAUGCAAAACUAAAACCAUGAAAAUUACAUCGGAUUCCAGAUUCAGCGGAGCAAAAAAAAUUUUCGGCUGGGGUAAAUUUACGUAGAUUUCAUCGGAAAUUUACAUGUUUUCGUAGCGCUUUUGGUUCGGCACGAUUACAUUGGAAGGCACUUAAAUUUACAAUGAAUUCGAUGUAAAUUCGCAUCAUUAAUGACGUGCACUUUUGGUACAUCAUAAAUGAUGUAAAUUUACCGGAUUAUUUUUUUCUGUGUAUAACACAAUAAUAAACAAGGCAAAAAGUACAUUAGGCUUUAUAAAGCGCUUUGCAUUCAACUUCCAGGACCCGUAUACUAUUAAAUUACUCUAUAUAACGUAUGUCAGGCCACUCUUGGAAUACUGUAGUAUCGUCUGGAAUCCAUACUAUGCCGUACACCAAGCACGUAUUGAAUCUGUCCAAAAACAAUUCUUACUGUACGCACUACGUAAACUUAACUGGACUGCAUUUCCUCUCCCAUCGUAUGAAGCACGCUGCAUGCUCAUAAACAUACAAUCAUUACAAGAACGUCGUAAAUUUGCCAUGCUCUCUUUCAUCAACGACAUUAUUUCUCAACGCAUACAGUCAGCAGCAUUAUUUUCAGUAAUACGCAAUAGUAUUCAUGAACCAAGCCGUACUCUUAGACAUUCACAACUUUUUAGAAUAACUGCAUACACGACAAAUUAUUUAAAAAAAUCGCCAUUAAAUCAAAUGAUGCGCUUUUAUAAUGAAAAUUCACAGUACAUACAUUUCGACAUGUCUAAACCGGAACUACGAAAAAAAUCUGUACAAUAGAAAUAAUAUCUAGUAUGUAAGAAAAUUGUAAGUAGUCUACAUAAGCUUGACGAAUAAACAAUAAACACAAAAAAAUUAUGAGAAAUAAGCGAUUUUGUUCUUCAAUCCAGCAGAAUAGAGAUAUCCACGCGCGAGAGUGUGUUAGUUUGGAGUUUAGUUACACGCAGACAUACGCAAAUCGAGUAGAAUGAUUCGUCUGUCAAAAUCAGCUGUGUCCUUUGUUAUACCACGAGCACGUGGUAAACAGCUGGUUUUUACAGGCGAUUGAUCUACUCGAUUUGCCUAUGUAUGUGUAAAAAUAGUAUAAACAAAAUCAGCUGCUUGGAAUUCAGCCAAUCCCAAUCGAUCAAAACCAAAACAUUACUUUAAAUACAAAUACUAACACAGAAUCAUGGUGUGCGUGAGAGAAACCGUGGAGAUCUCUAUGGAAUAUU